This 378-nucleotide ribosomal RNA is filed under the name uncultured eukaryote. RNAcentral's name for it is "partial 18S ribosomal RNA". It matches the Rfam family "Eukaryotic small subunit ribosomal RNA", at positions 592 to 976 of the family's 1831-position model. The record is from RNAcentral.
CAAUAGCGUAUAUUUAAGUUGUUGCAGUUAAAAAGCUCGUAGUUGGAUUUCGGGCUGGCUUCAGCGGUCUCGCUUUGCGUUUGUACUGCUGCAGCCUGCCUUCUUGCUGGGGACGGGCCUACGGGCUUAAUUGCUUGGGGUCCGGAAUCAGCGAUGUUACUUUGAGUAAAUUAGAGUGUUCAAAGCAAGCCUACGCUCUGAAUAUAAUAGCAUGGGAUAACACGACAGGACUCUGGCCUAUCGUGUUGGUCUAUAGGACCAGAGUAAUGAUUAAGAGGGACAGUCGGGGGCAUUCGUAUUCCGUUGUCAGAGGUGAAAUUCUUGGAUUUACGGGAGACGAACAUCUGCGAAAGCAUUUGCCAAGGAUGUUUUCAUUGA